AACGAACGCUGGCGGCGUGCCUAACACAUGCAAGUCGUGCGAGAAAGUUCCUUCGGGAGCGAGUAAAGCGGCGCACGGGUGAGUAACACGUAGGUAACCUGCCCCCCAGUCUGGAACAACUAGAGGAAACUCUAGCUAAUGCCGGAUGAGACCACGAUCCCUUCGGGGGUUGCGGCCAAAGAUGGCCUCUACUUGUAAGCUAUCGCUGAGGGAUGGGCCUGCGGGCCAUUAGCUUGUUGGUGAGGUAACGGCUCACCAAGGCUGUGAUGGCUAGCUGGUCUGAGAGGAUGACCAGCCACACUGGGACUGAGACACGGCCCAGACUCCUACGGGAGGCAGCAGUGGGAAUAUUGCGCAAUGGGCGAAAGCCUGACGCAGCGACGCCGCGUGGGUGAUGAAGGCCUUGG
Molecule: ribosomal RNA, 407 nt
Filed under: uncultured bacterium
Lineage: Bacteria
Description: bacterial SSU rRNA
Rfam family: Bacterial small subunit ribosomal RNA
Source: RNAcentral